Suricata suricatta (meerkat) is the source of this 872-nucleotide long non-coding RNA. RefSeq lists it as uncharacterized. Lineage: Eukaryota; Metazoa; Chordata; Mammalia; Carnivora; Herpestidae. The transcript has 4 exons. The record is from RefSeq and is a predicted model, not a curated record.
GCAUCCGGGAGUCCCUGCAUUUCUGAGUGACAGCCACUGCCUCUGGGGACCCCCGUUUCCUGGUCUUAGCUGACUCCCAUAUUUGCUGAAGGAUGUUGUCAAUCAUUUAUUAAAAAGGAGGUUUGAUAGGUGAAGACAUCGAAGCCCAGAGAAGUUGGGGCUACUUGCCCAUGUUGGUGACAGAGCAGAGGUCUAACACCACAACCCCCUGACCUCAGCCAACAGUCUGUCCAAUUUCUCCUAACAGAACAAAAGAACACUGAACAAUAAAGAGGCUGGAGUGUAAAAGACGUAAAAUAACCUGCAUAGCGUCCCUGAGCCAGAGAGGAAGCGGAAUGAACGCUUGGAUGUUUGCCUCCCAGGCAGGCGAUCUUUCCUCUCUAUCACAGGGUAGCCGAUGUCAUCUGACAGCCCAGUUAGGAGACUGUUCCAGCAGGGAGCUCACAGGCUGAUGGCUUUGGGUAUGAAGAGACUUUCCAGCUGUCAAAUGAGUAUGCCUGUCUCUGGGACGGCACUCUCAAAGCAUCACAGCAGGCAUGCCCUGACGAGUCAGCAAUAGCUCAGGAGCAGCACAAGCUCAUCUCCUUACUUCAAUAAAUUCACCAUCUGUGGCACAUUUGUGUUAUAAAUUACAGGGCAGCUUCAGUCACAGGAUGCAGCCGAGGGAAGAAAAAUGCUUACUAGUGUUCAUUGCUGGUUAACUUAAAAACAUGAUGCAUUUUAUACGUGUGGAUGAGGGAGCCUACCUCAUGGCUGAUAUAACGCCUUGCAAAUUUAUCUUUCACAGAAAAUACAUCACAGUGGGGAUAGGCAUUUUCAUUUAUUUGUGCCAGAACCUCCCAAGAAAAAUAAAAUGCCAAUAUGUUGCUCAA